RNAcentral lists this ribosomal RNA (292 nucleotides) under uncultured bacterium. RNAcentral describes it as "partial 16S ribosomal RNA". It matches the Rfam family "Bacterial small subunit ribosomal RNA", at positions 505 to 796 of the family's 1533-position model. The record is from RNAcentral.
GUGCCAGCAGCCGCGGUAAGACGAACCGUGCGAACGUUGUUCGGAAUCACUGGGCUUAAAGGGCGCGUAGGCGGGCACUCAAGUCGGUGGUGAAAGCCUCCAGCCUAACUGGAGAAGAGCUGUCGAUACUGGGUGCCUCGAGUGGUGCAGGGGUCUGCGGAACUUCGGGUGGAGCGGUGAAAUGCGUAGAGAUCCGAAGGAACGCCGGUGGCGAAAGCGGCGGACUGGGCACCUUCUGACGCUGAGGCGCGAAAGCCAGGGGAGCAAACGGGAUUAGAUACCCCAGUAGUCC